AUGUUUGCUGCUGCAACCAAAAACUUUGUUAAACAGGUUGGUGACGGAGGAAGACUAGUGCCAGUGCCCAGCCUCAGUGAAGCUGAUAAGUACCAACCUCUCAGCCUUGUGAUUAAGAAAAGAAAAUGUUUGCUUUCGAAAAAAUCUAAAUUUGCUUCAACACCUUUCACGUUAAAAGACAUUCUUGAAGGGGAGAAAGAAAUUUCUGCAGGUGUUUCAUCCUACCAGUUGCUCAACUAUGAAGACAAAUCAGAUGUUUCACUCAGUGGUAGAAGAGGAAAUCAGAUAAUCAACGAUGUUGGUUUUGAUGUUGCUGGAUCAGAUUCUAUUGCCUUUAAAGCUUCAUUUGGCAUAGUGACCAAACACGAGGUUGAAGUACCGACGCUGCUUAAAGAACUUACUACAAGAAAAAUAAACUUUGAUCAUUGUCUAGUCCAUCAAACAAGAAAAAGUAGGAUGGAGAUUCUGUGUGUAGUCAUGGAAAGCAUUAGGACAACAAGGCAGUGCUCAUUAACUGUUCAUACUGGGAUGCGUGGAGAGACUAUGAGGUUUCACAUAAUUGAAGACCAAAAUAGUAAAGGACGGGACAAAGCCAUUGUUUUUCCUGCACAUACAACGAUUGCUUUUAGUGUAUUUGAACUUUAUAUUCGUUUGGAUGGGAAUUUUGAACUGUGUGUGACUCCAAUUGCAAAGGGGGGAUUUGAAAAAGAGAAAUCUGGAUCAUCUUCAAUGAACAAAUUAAGGAGAUUAAAGCAUAAUCUCUUUCAUCGAAAUAAAAGAAUAGUGAGUAUCGUCCCUAGCUCUGAUAGUUACUUGGAGGACCUUUUUACCGACUACUAUGAGAAAGCUGCAAGCAUGACUGAUCUCUCUACAAGCUAUCUCAGAGAUGGGGCUCAUGUCCGAAUUAAUUUACUUAAUAACAACAUCCCCAAAGGUCCUUGUGUUCUUUGUGGAAUGGGAAGUUCUAAAAGAGAAACAGUCUAUGGAUGCCUAGAGUGCUCUUUUAAUGGACAGAAGUAUGUACGACUGCAUGCUGUGCCCUGUUUUGACCUCUGGCAUAAAAGAGUGAAGUAACUGCUGUAGGUUUUUUUUUUAUAGAUGAAAGUGCUACAAUGGCCUAAAAGCUAUAGAAAGCCUGCAGUUACCUUCCUGGGAUUCUGUUUUUCUGUUUGGACUUAGAAGUAUUCAUUAGGAAUUUUCUAAAUAUGUCAACAGCAGUGCUCACAAAACCAAGACAGGCGGCAUGUACUGGGAAUUCUGAUGCAAAAUGCAGAGCUUUGGUGGCAGUCUGUGAAAAGAACUGCUUAAAUCAAACUGGAAUUAGCAAAAUUAAGCCGUGCUGCUCCAGUCACCUGAAGUGUUCUACAAAAUUAAUAAAGCACCAACUCUUAGUCAUUUACAAUACUGUUUGCACAUUAGAAGGUAAAUAAAACAGAGCAAAACAAAAAAAAAAAAUUAGUUUUUAAACUUUUUUUUUUUUU
RNA transcript from Lagopus muta (rock ptarmigan), 1481 nucleotides. It is a transcript of the gene named pejvakin, with no coding region annotated. The record is from RefSeq and is a predicted model, not a curated record. The transcript is spliced from 8 exons. Lineage: Eukaryota; Metazoa; Chordata; Aves; Galliformes; Phasianidae.